Molecule: long non-coding RNA, 881 nt
Filed under: Salmo salar (Atlantic salmon)
Lineage: Eukaryota; Metazoa; Chordata; Actinopteri; Salmoniformes; Salmonidae
Description: lncRNA (ENSSSAG00000091904.1)
Source: RNAcentral
CUCCAUUGUUCACAUCCUGGUCCUGGGCAAUGGAGCGGUCACAUAUUGUCUGCAGCCAAAAUGGCAACCUAUUCUCCCUAUGGACCCUGGACAACAGUAGUGCACUAUAUAGUGAAUAGGGCGCCAUUUCAGAUGAAUCCAUUGUUAAAGAACGACUGCCCCAAAAAAACAAAUAAUCUCUUUGAAAACAGCCUAUGUGGCUUCGAUAUGAGUCAGAAACAUUUAUUCUUAAUAGGAUCAUUUUGUUCAUAACGUCAGUCUCGUCUUAAACGGAGUUUGGAACUGAGUGCGUCACAACGAGUAAAUUAAGGUUAGGUCUGGAUAACAAUUAUGUCUACAAUUCAUGCCCCCUUUUGUCAAGCUCCACGUGCAAAUCGCCCCUCCACCCACUUUGCUUCUCUUUAUUGAAUGGGGCUCCAUUGUUUUAUCGCGUUCAAAGGAUCAGACCGUUUGAGACUGAAAAGGCCUAUACAGAUUGACAAUGCCUCUGGCUCCGGUUCAACAAUGCAUGCUUCCAGUAAGAUGAACAGCCAGCUAUGGUUUGCAUGUCCUGCUGAAGGACCCUACCAUGCGGAAUAGGUGGUUGGAGUUGGUUCCCAAUGGUGACAGAUGUGCCUGUAUGGAGCCAGCACCAGGGAGACUUGCAAGAUGAUGUGGUGGAUUCCAGACUGGCAGACAGGCUUGAUGCUGAUGACUCUGAAUUGAGAGAGACCUUGCACUUAGCAAUACAAUUAUAUAAGACACAUCGAUUACUUGUUAUGGUCUUUUAUUAUUAUUGAAUCGGGGGGGAACUGUGGAACACAUCAUCCACAAUAUUAUGUGAAGGAUGACUUAUUCCAAAUGGAACUAUUGCACAUGAAAGUUAUCAAAACACUUUGUUU